UGUGUAGGCGGGACUGCAAGUCAGAUGUGAAAGUUCGGGGCUUAACCCCGGAAUUGCAUUUGAAACUGUAAUACUUGAGUACUGGAGAGGUAAGUGGAAUUCCUAGUGUAGCGGUGAAAUGCGUAGAUAUUAGGAGGAACACCAGUGGCGAAGGCGACUUACUGGACAGAUACUGACGCUGAGGCGCGAAAGCGUGGGGAGCAAACAGGAUUAGAUACCCGCGUA
This 225-nucleotide ribosomal RNA is filed under the name uncultured Alkalibacter sp. RNAcentral's name for it is "partial 16S ribosomal RNA". It matches the Rfam family "Bacterial small subunit ribosomal RNA", at positions 568 to 792 of the family's 1533-position model. Lineage: Bacteria; Bacillati; Bacillota; Clostridia; Eubacteriales; Eubacteriaceae. The record is from RNAcentral.